UGGCAUAGCUCAUGUGGCAGAGCACGAGACUCUUAAUCUCAGGGUUGUGGGUUUGAUCCCCACAUUGGGCAAAA
Podarcis lilfordi (Lilford's wall lizard) is the source of this 74-nucleotide non-coding RNA. Lineage: Eukaryota; Metazoa; Chordata; Lepidosauria; Squamata; Lacertidae. The record is from the annotation of a GenBank genome assembly.